CAAUAAGUGCGUAUUUAUCCUGCUGAAGUGUGUGAAGCUAGAAUAAAUACUUCCUACUUUACAUGAGGAUCAGAGCGGUGGUCUGAGUUUGGGCUUCGACUCAAAGCUCUGCUCUCUAAUCUUUGAUAAAUAUUCAUCCCGUGGCCAUUUAUAUCCAAUUGUUGUGGGAGUCAUGAUGAAAGUGACUGGAGGUGGUCGGCUCCAAGAUCUGCUGCACAUUGGCUCAUUUUGAAUGGCUCUUCACUGUGUGUGGAAGCUUCACCAGGUCAGCGUGAGCCGUUCUGAUGAACCUGCUGUUGACUCAUACUGUACGUCCGCUCAGACUGGCACACGAGGAACACGGUGGCUCCUCCCCCUCAUAUUCUGUCGUCAUUUUUCAGGCGGGAAUUUUCCAAAAGUGUCUCUGCACGACGUUGGAAUGCUGACAGGACGGAGCACGCCUCUGGUUCUCCCACUGCCUGCUCCAUAAGUCAGAGUGUCUGCACAAACCAGCCCACGCACACAGUAGCGCAGAGCAACGGGCCGCGGGCACGAGCUCGGAACGUCCUGGAAUUGAUUCCUUUUGGAAUUUCUGGGAACCAAUUUGCCUGAGAGCCUUGAUCGUUGCAAUUUCUAUUGAAGUGCAGGCGGGAGAGCCCUUCCUCCGGCUGACACAUGCUUCACGUCAUGCCAACGUCAAACAAUGAGACAAGAUGUAGCACCCAGAUCUCACCGAGACGUAGCUUCAGGAUGACUCAGAAAUGUUCGCCUCCUCCUCCACCUCCAUCCUUCACUCAGUGAGGCUGCUGCAGGAAUUUGAGGGGAGAAUUCCUUCAUUUUCGCCCCCUGCCCGUCGGAGAAACCUGAUCCAGUGGGGGGACUUUGUUUGAAAUGGGAAGGUAACACCUCAGUGGAAGGCAGCCGUUCUUCACGCUCACUAUUAGGUGGGAGUCGCAUCAGAAUGCAUCAGUGCAACACAUCUCAGCUAAUGGGAUCUUCCUUGCUGAUAAUGGGUUACAAUUUGAAACCUCAUUUUGGUGAAGUAGUUAAGCUUUAAUGGCAGCAGUGCUUGACCAUUACCUGCUUGGAUGGUGGAAGAUAAAGACUGAUCUGUGAAUUAGACAUCGUUUUUUAAUGCGAAGAAUAUUUAGUGAACUCACGUCCGGGAGUUUCGCAGUGUGUCCUCCUGGAAACGGAUAACGGCGGUGAACUGAUGACUUGCAGGAGGAUCAUUUGGUUUUGCUGCUGCCUUGUUGAGCUGUAAGUGUAAGUGCACGUGUGCGCCAUCUACUGAACCAAAGGCAGAAUGUGUGUGAGAGGUCUGAAGUAAAGUUGGGAAAACCUGCUUCAGGUAAUGAUGACUGCGUAAGCCACAGAACGCAUCACGUCAUGUCCAUACAAGUGAGAAUAUGAGGAAUAAAUAUUUCAAAAGCUGUGUUCACCUACACUUAAACCCAGAAAAUCUGAAUUUGUCCACAUAUUUUCUACAGUACGUAUUAAAAUACCUUUUUUACUAGCAUUUCCCCCAUUCCUUCACACUUAUGUUUCAUGCAAAUGUAUUUAUUUUAAAUAGUCAUAGAUAAUAUGACAGGUCAGAAUAUAACAGCUUAUUUCAUGGAGUUCAUGCAUAAUUGUGCAGAAACGACAAGGUCCACACCAAAGCAAGAAAAUAACUAAAGGCUGAAGCAGAGCAGGCGAGAGCAUGUGGAGCACAGUCUUCAAACCAAAAUAAAGUCUGUAAAGUGACACCACAUCAUGGAGGAGACUCAUUUACAUCAGCGUGUGUGACCGCUUUUUCUCUUUUUUUUUUUUUGCUUUUAGAACUCAGAUGUGUGUGUGUGUGACGAAAUGUACAGAAAGUAGAUUCUUGUUUGUGCGGUGGUGUUCUUCUCUGUUCGAGCGCAUGCAGAGGAAUCUUCUGCAGCCGGGGGAGACACAUAAAAAAGAACGCCGGCAAUAUUAUUUCUGAAACCGAGUUGACGUUAUUGCAGUUUUAUGUGUCAUGGGAAAUCACUGUGUCCUGGGCUGCAGCAAAUGAUUAUUGAGAGCUAAUAGUGCGCGAUGUUUAAUAUAAGGGAAAGAACAGACAAAAUCACUCAUCGCACCUCAGGGAAUAAAUUAAGGUUGAGGGAGAGUGAGGGUGUGAGGCAUCCUUCCAGCAUCUUUAUUACCACCUACCUGGCUUUGUGUGGUGUCAUUGCCGGGACGCCUUUCAUACUGUACAGCUGGUUGGGAUCUGGAUUCCCAGGCUCUGCUGGAGGGACCGGUGCAUGCUGCAGCCACUGCACUGUUUACUGGAGCCAAUACAUCGGGCAAAUAUUGACUCGCGAAAUGUGGCGGCAAGUCGUGGUCGCCGCACGCUCCUGGGGCAAUGUGCAGUUUUACUUCAAUUUCUCUCGCCAUAUGUUUGACUUAACAAGACCACUGUCCUUUCGCUACGCACCUCAUGUUCUCGAGUGUGUGAAGCCAAACAAGGAUAAAUUUGCCGUCUGCAAACUGACUCAUACAUAAUUUACUUCUUUAAGUCGCUGGACUGGUGCAGCGCAGCGGACUGUGGCGUCGGGUCAUUGAGUCCUCUCCACAUCCUGAUCCCCAGGCAGCGCUCUCUCUCUCUCUCUCUCUCUCUCGCCCGCUCUCGCUCGCUCUCUCCCUCAUUGACCUUCUGCAGGGCAGAGUGCCGCUCAUGUGUUGUGCAGAAAAGCAGCGUUGUCUCAGGAGGCCUUCCCGCGCCUGGCUGUGCUUAUCAGCAAGAGGAGGAGAGAAGCUAUUUUCCUCCAUCCUUCAGUGAAGGGCACCUGGAGAGGCUCCGCACAGGUUGGACUCGCGGUGAAGGAUUACCAGCAGACUACAGAGACAAAACGACACAACACCAUGCAUGUGAAAUGGCCACAAACGACGCUGAAACACAAGAAAGAAGAGACAUUUGACUUUUUAGCAAGCAACAAAGAAAGAUGAUUGAAGGGGAAGCUUUACUUCUUGAUUGGCCUGUCAAUCAGACGCGUCCUCUCCGAUGCCUCCUCCUCCUCCGUCGUCGUGUGCGGCCGGCGCCGGGGAACAAAAGCGGGCCGUAAUUGCGGGCCGAACGCCGUGUUUUGAUCGAGCUGACUGACACGGAGCUGACAGCACAUUCAGCCGCCGUCGGCCGUGAUGGAGCCUCUGACGGCGUCCACAUGUCGAUGAUUGGUGAGCCGAUUCCGAGACACCUCCAUGGAUGGAACAAAACCGCGGCAGAGGACAAUAAAGGCACUGGAAACCAGUGAAGAAGACCAGUUAGGAUAAUGUAAAUAACUUCAUGUGACAUCUCUCCUGCUUCACCACUGGUGGUUCGAGUCCUGAGGCUUCGAGGCUGUUGUCUUGGCCACACACACACACACACACACACACACACACACACAUACACACACACACACACACACACACACACACACACUGCUUGUUCAGUGUUCUCCUCUCUCCUUGAGAAAAGAUUGGCUUUCUUUUUGCAGGCGCCUGCUCUUGUGUGAUUUGCUAGGAAUGUAAGUAAAUUGGGAAACCGUGUUGAACGAACACCUUCUGCCUGGCAGUCAAAUGGUGGAGUGUAAUGUAGAAAUAGAACUUCAUUUUUUGACCCUUUCAUGUGUUUCAAAAACUCAUUUCCUACUGUACGCUGGUCAGAAAUCUCCGUUUGAGCUCCAGCACUUUCUACAAGACCCAGAUUUUCUAUUGACAAGCUCCACCUGUGACCGUCCGAGUCUUUUACUGUACUUUAAUUCUAUUCCUCUUCUCCAGCAUUAGGUUCUACAUUCAGCUCACAUUUAUGCAGGUUCGUCUGCUACACACAUUCAAAUACGCCAAAUACGACAUGAAAGCAGCGAAGAGAUUCGUCUCUUCGCAGGUUUAGACCGCGCGGGUUUGUGUCCGGGCAUCAUUUGCCUUUGUACCCAUGGGUGUAGCUAAUGUGUGUGAGGGGGAGAUUGCGCGGCCCGCCGGGACUCUGCCCCCCCCCCCCCAGAUCGCUCUGCGUGGGUGGGUGGGUGUCUGGUCCGGCCGGGUGGAGGCGGCAGCACAUGCUGUCGUGAUGCAGGUAGCGGGUGCCUGGAAUGACAACGCUAUUAUAAUGAUUUGGAGGGAAUGUCUUCAUAAAUGUCUGCUCUCUGGGGAGGAUGAGGCUUUGUUUAUUUUAUUUAUUUAUUUUUUAAAGCAUGAAUAAAUUCAUGUCCACUCGCGUGCGCCGCGGCCGCGGCCUCUGUUUGCUCAUCUCGCAUGCAGCCGGCCGCGCGGCUCGUCCCGAGAGAUGAAAGUUUGUAAACAUGAAUAAUAAUUAGGAGCAGGUCGAUGGGCAGGUAAUCUGCAUGUGGGUUCCGGGGGCCCGGCGUUGAGCCGUCGGGGCGGCCGUCCAUUAGCAUUCCGCUCGCGCGCUAGCAUUUGAUCUCCUAUCAGGGCAAACAGAGUAGAUGUCAUUUCUAAUUGCUCGGCGAGGAGAUUAGAGGGAGCGGCGGGCGACGUCUGGGCGUCCCGGCCUUUUUGAUGAGACUCCGUUCAACAUUUCAAGUUUUUCGGGGGCCUGAAUCAGCCCAAAUGUGACACCGACACGUUAUCAGAGGGACGCGUGUACACAGCAAAUUGCUGCGGCCGCGCUGUGUUUGCCAGACAGCGCCGCCGCGCCCCUUUCAAACGUUGGUGGUGACUUUUAUGAAGGGAGCGUCUGUGGGACUGCUGCAUCCGAACACUUGGGAUUCAUGGAUUUGAUACGGAGCCUCUGGUGGCUCUAGGUUCCUUACUUAUUAAUAUAAUGACAGGGUGCUAAUGAUUAAUUAAGAGGCUGAGUCUCAUUAUUAGAGCGGUUUGAUCUUGAAGUGACUUUGGAGCAGCAAGAGAAAUCAAGGAUUUUGCUAUUCUGCAGCCAUGCCUCCUCCCGGCACUAACAAGCCCCCCACAGCAAACAGGGCCUCCUCACGGCCCGUCCCCCUUCUUAUAGAUAGUCUUAAGACUUUAAUCCGGGCCCAGUGACAGGCUCAUCCUCAGUCAAUAGGGUAAAGAGAAGCUCAUGGAGGGAUGUGUGCGCUUGUCCAAAGGCUGCUUCAGGAGGACACGCUCCGAAUCGUAAAGCAAAGCUCACCUCCAGCGAAGGGGAGCGCCGACAGACGUUCGUGGAUCCGUUUGCUGAAAUCACAAACUUCGAGUGCGAUCGCCCUGUCGCAGUGUAACAGAGAUUUUGAGGCUUAAAAAGGGAUGAAGCGACGGCAGACGCAGACACGGCCGCCUCGUGGCGCGUUCGCCGGCGUCCGCUUCAACCUUGUACCUGCUCGUUUGGCUGUUUGGCCGUGUGCGCGUCCUCCCAUGGGGCCUCGGCGGCGUUUAGGAGCCGUGAGCUGGAUUGUGUGAGGAUCUGAUGCCCUGCAGGUCCCAAUCCGUCUUUGUUAGGCCUCCUGUGCUCCAAUCGCACCCGCCCUGCCGAAGACUGAUCACCUCCACCGCCACCAACCUGCAGCCGCAGCUGAUAUAGCGAAUACGGAAUCUAGUGAAACUAGUGGCAUGCGCUUUGUAAUUGUCACAUUCAGUAGAGACGAUCCUUCGCUCGAACAGUGGUGACAAAACUACAGCUAUUGGGAUUUUGUUUGAAUACUUUUAAUGAUGCUUUAUCGCCUAAUUAAACAUCAUUAAACUGGAUUUUUGCCUUGGAAAAGAACAAAACCAUCAGCAGUUUUUGAGUUUCCAGCAUCACAUGAGGGAAGUUGUUAUUUGCACACGAUCUGCUGUAGCUGCAGACAAAACUCUCCCAUGAAAUAAGUGCCAGUUUCCCAAAAUAUAUAAACAAUUUUAAUUUUAGUUGUUGAAAUUGAUGUUCUAAGGAAAAUGCUAGACUUGUCCUGUGUUUCUGGUGCUCUCUUGUCAUCCCUCCAUUCGCCUGCUGCCUCGUGUGCUUGGCUGGUGAGUCAUCCUUGACCCUCAUUACUUCUCCUGUUUGCUCCCCUUUUCCUCCACCUCCUCCUGCUCUGUAAGUACUUUGCUGCUUUUAUCGGUGCUUCCUGUUUCUGCAGUUGGUCUCUUUUCCUCCUUUUGUAAUUUGUUGCAGUUUGAAUUGUUAGUUCACAGUUGUGCGUCACUUUAUGUUACUAGUACGAUUUAACAUUAGUUUAAGAUCUAAGUAUUUGCAUUUCAGCGGGUUUUCAUGCUUCAGUGAUAAACCUUUGUACAUACUGUACUUACUGUAUAUUGAAAAUAAUAAUAAUGAGCUUUGCAUGCAGUGUGUGGCAGGUGGGCCUCAUUGUUUAAACAUUAAGCAUCUCUGUAUUGACUGGUUGUUAACGUUAUCAGGAUGCCAAUAGCCAUUAUUGCUUAUCUUGUCUUGAUUAUCCUCUGAGCUGUAAAAUCAAUUAGACAUAAUCCAAUCCCAUUCCACGGGUCAAAAGUUCAUACUGGUGUUGCUCCACUGCUCCAAGUCAACAUUUUAUAAAGUGUAUUCCUCUCCUUCUAUGAGAAAUAUAGAUUUUAUUGCAUUUUACUGUAGAGAGUUAAGUGUCAUUCCCUUAAUAACAGCAUUGUUUUUUGUGCUUCUCAGUGGAAUGCAAUGCAAAUCUCAUCACGCUGUGUACAAUAAACAGCAGCUCCACAACAUA
Long non-coding RNA from Betta splendens (Siamese fighting fish), 6578 nucleotides. RefSeq lists it as uncharacterized. The transcript is spliced from 3 exons. The record is from RefSeq and is a predicted model, not a curated record. Lineage: Eukaryota; Metazoa; Chordata; Actinopteri; Anabantiformes; Osphronemidae.